Molecule: ribosomal RNA, 497 nt
Filed under: uncultured bacterium
Lineage: Bacteria
Description: partial 16S ribosomal RNA
Rfam family: Bacterial small subunit ribosomal RNA
Source: RNAcentral
GAUGAACGCUGGCGGCGUGCCUAAUACAUGCAAGUCGAGCGAACGGACGCGACGCUUGCUUCUCUGAUGUUAGCGGCGGACGGGUGAGUAACACGUGGAUAACCUACCUAUAAGACUGGGAUAACUUCGGGAAACCGUAGCUAAUACCGGAUAAUAUUUUGCACCGCAUGGUUCAAAAGUGAAAGACGGUCUUGCUGUCACUUCUCGAUGGAUCCGCGCUGCAUUAGCUAGUUGGUAAGGUAACGGCUUACCAAGGCAACGAUGCAUAGCCGACCUGAGAGGGUGAUCGGCCACACUGGAACUGAGACACGGUCCAGACUCCUACGGGAGGCAGCAGUAGGGAAUCUUCCGCGAUGGGCGAAAGCCUGACGGAGCAACGCCGCGUGAGUGAUGAAGGUCUUCGGAUCGUAAAACUCUGUUAUUAGGGAAGAACAUAUGUGUAAGUAACUGUGCACAUCUUGACGGUACCUAAUCAGAAAGCCACGGCUAACUACGUG